Molecule: transfer RNA, 87 nt
Filed under: Oscillospiraceae bacterium
Lineage: Bacteria; Bacillati; Bacillota; Clostridia; Eubacteriales; Oscillospiraceae
Description: tRNA-Leu
Rfam family: tRNA
About the family: Transfer RNA (tRNA) molecules are approximately 80 nucleotides in length. Their secondary structure includes four short double-helical elements and three loops (D, anti-codon, and T loops).
Source: RNAcentral
GCGGAUGUGGUGGAAUCGGCAGACACGCUAGCUUGAGGGGCUAGUGGUAGCAAUAUCGUGCAAGUUCAAGUCUUGUCAUCCGCACCA